Molecule: long non-coding RNA, 448 nt
Organism: Alligator mississippiensis (American alligator)
Lineage: Eukaryota; Metazoa; Chordata; Crocodylia; Alligatoridae
Exons: 3
Source: RefSeq, a predicted model, not a curated record
UUUCAGCUGCUAACUAGAAUUUCAGAGUUCAGGGACACACCACUGCCUCUGGGAUGUGAGGAAUGAAUCAUGCUCCCACUGAGUAGCACCUAGAAGCCACAAACAACAUUUAUGCUCCAAGUACAAGUCAAACAGACAAGCUGGACAAAAGAAGAGGGGAAGACCGAACAGUGAAGCAACUGUGACUGUCUGAAACCUGAAAUCCUGCUCUUGCCUUUGUUUCAAGAUAAUUGGCAUCAUCACAGAUCCUCACAGGAGGUGAGAGGCUUCAUACCAGCUAUGAACUGACUGCUCAGAGGAAUUUUCCAUCUAUUGACUCCUCUGUGAAAUCCUAUGAAAUACGAACUUUCAUUUCUACCCAGGAGAACUUUUACACUCUUUUCUCCAAUGCUUGAUGAAGGGUGUUUGUGCCUGACAGCUUGCAAUUAAAGACUUUUUUGCAAAAAUG